UACGUAGGCGGAAGAUUAAGUCAGUGGUGAAAUCCUGCAGCUUAACUGUAGAACUGUCAUUGAUACUGGUUUUCUUGAAUAUAGUUGAGGUAGGCGGAAUGUGUAAUGUAGCGGUGAAAUGCUUAGAUAUUACACAGAACACCGAUUGCGAAGGCAGCUUACUAAGCUAUGAUUGACGCUGAGGUACGAAAGCGUGGGGAGCGAACAGGAUUAGAUACCCGAGUAGUCC
Molecule: ribosomal RNA, 229 nt
Filed under: uncultured bacterium
Lineage: Bacteria
Description: partial 16S ribosomal RNA
Rfam family: Bacterial small subunit ribosomal RNA
Source: RNAcentral